UACGGUGGAUCCGAGCGUUAUCCGGAUUUAUUGGGUUUAAAGGGAGCGUAGGUGGAUUGUUAAGUCAGUUGUGAAAGUUUGCGGCUCAACCGUAAAAUUGCAGUUGAAACUGGCAGUCUUGAGUACAGUAGAGGUGGGCGGAAUUCGUGGUGUAGCGGUGAAAUGCUUAGAUAUCACGAAGAACUCCGAUUGCGAAGGCAGCUCACUGGACUGCAACUGACACUGAGGCUCGAAAGUGUGGGUAUCGAACAGG
This 253-nucleotide ribosomal RNA is filed under the name uncultured bacterium. RNAcentral describes it as "partial 16S ribosomal RNA". It matches the Rfam family "Bacterial small subunit ribosomal RNA", at positions 524 to 776 of the family's 1533-position model. The record is from RNAcentral.